Cygnus olor (mute swan) is the source of this 3056-nucleotide long non-coding RNA. RefSeq lists it as uncharacterized. The record is from RefSeq and is a predicted model, not a curated record. The transcript is spliced from 3 exons. NCBI's taxonomy places the organism in Eukaryota, Metazoa, Chordata, Aves, Anseriformes, Anatidae.
UGGCUGUUUGCAGCCGGCUGGGCAGAGCAGAGCAGGGCUUAUAAAAGCCCAAAUUAGCAUCCUCUCCCUGGCAGCUCUGCCAGCAGCCCCUCCUGCUGCAGCCCAGCCAGGUUGUGGGCACACUGGGCUCUGCGCUCGUGGUGAAGGUCAGAGAGGGGCUGUGGUGGCCCCCGGGGUGAAGGCGUCCUGUGGGGAUGCGGGGUGCAGCAGCACGGAGCCCCCGCUGCCGGCAGAGACCUGGCUUGUGCCAUUAACUCUAAGCUUGAUGUGUUUGGGCUGCCGGUGGUGACUGAUAGACACUUUUUGGGGGGAUUUGUCAUUAUCUGUGAAGAUUAAAACCUGACAGGCUCAAAUGAUACUAGAAGCUAAGGGUCUUAAGGUUUACUUGGAUGGAGUCCGUUUUGUGCGUGGCAAAUGGUAAAGUAUUUCUUCUUGGCACUGUGGUUUUAUUGAUCUCUGCGUAAUAUACAGGGCUUUGUGCAUUUAAUUCCAUCAAGUGAAGAAGAUGGAUUGGCAUGUGGUCACCUUUAGGCUAGCAACACGUUGCUUUAUCCAAAUAAGCAUCAGCUGUGUCGCUGCCUUGCCUGGGUGUUCGCUAACUGCCCUGCCUAUCACCGGCAGGCAAGGGGCCCUGAAAGCAAUGCAGGGACAGCACAAAUAUUUGUUUCAGAGCAGCAGUGAUUUUUCCCUACUGCAAUUAGAUAUAGAAAGAGGGACGUGCAGCUCUUAUUCACAGCAUAUUACUAAUGAGAACUGGCAACUGGGAAGGCACCUUCAGCAUGGGGCUGGAUGUACUGGGUCUUGGAGCAGCGCCACGGGUGCUUGCCCCUCAGUGGGAUGCUCCCCUGCAGGUGAGGGCACAGUGUGCAGGGAAAUCUGCUGCGGCUCCUGCUGCUCACCCUUGGCACAGAUGCUCCAGCCCAUGUCCUCAGCCUCCUGUGCACAGCAGCACCCUUGCUCUUCUCCUUGCUCCUUCUCCAAGGUUGUGGCUUCCUCUGGGAUGAGCACAGCAAACCCUCGGUCUCCCCAUCUCCACGCCCGCUCUGCGCAAUCCCUUUGUGCCCCCAAUUUUGCCCUUCAGCAGUUGUUGGCAGCCCGGUACUGACUUGCAGUGGUGCGUGAAGAGCAGCGGGAGGCUGGGAGCAGCAGUGGCCUGCAGGAGAGCUGUCACCACGCUGGCAGUCGGGGAAAGGAAAGGGAGAAGGAUCAGCGCCUGGCUGCCUCCACGUGUGUGCCCUUGUAGGAAAGGAGCGGGCAGCAGGGGGACACGGCCAUAGCCAAGCCCUGUAAGUCCCCAGGGUCUGCGAGCGGCAGCGUCACCUGCACUUCUCCGUCCUUGCAGAAGAACUCUGGAAUCUUUCUGUGCUCCCUCCGUUCGCAAGCAAACCGCCCGCAGCCGCAGGAAGAUCCGCUGGGAAGGCAGCUUGUCAGCGCUCCAGCUGCGAGAGGCUGGGGCUGAUAAUCCGCCAGCCUCCAAACAUGUUUACAGCCGUGAUUCCCAAGAGUGAAAUUGGAAGGGCUUAAAUUGUGGAAAUGGCUUGUUUGGUGAAGUUACAGCCCUAAAUUGAAGCCAUCUGUGAUGCCGUGCAGUUUCUGCCAUCCAGUACAUUCCCAAGCUGUCCGCUGUGCUAAAUCAUCUCCCCAUGCAGACGUGCUCGUGUCACUGCUUUCCCUGUCCAUAGCUGGUGUUAAACAGGGAAAGGGCAGCGUGGCAGCGGGGAAGGUCACUUUGGGAAAACACGAGAUGGCUCAGUGGCGGCACCCAGACGGUUCCUGAUGCUGCCCCAAAGCCAUUGUCUGAGUGGAGGAAUGCAAGGAGAAACCGAGACAGCUCUCAGCGUGCACAGCUCCCUAAAAAGGGUUGGAAAUGUUGAAAACCCACAGCCUGCCCUGUUUCCAUGGCAACAGGAGGAUGCAUCCAAAAGGACAAAGUUUGAAACACUCCCACAGAUGAGCUGGGAUUUUGUUUUUGUAACUCAAUUAUAUAUUAUUAUAUCUUGUGGCUAUGAUUUUAAUAGAUUUCUAAACUUCUUACAAGCAUUUUGCAGGUUUAUUUUUACCUCUCUCUAGUGCAAAAAACAAAUUAGAGGAAGUCAAAAUAAAAAAAAAAGCAAAAAGUUGGGAGUCAAAUGUCAGUACAACUUUGAUCUCCUCCUCACGCAGCUCCGGUUGUAUCUGUUUAGAAGCACCAGAUUUGCAUAUUCAUGUCCCUUAAUUUGCUCUUUGGAUGCGGAAAUCUAAUAAUUAGUGAAGAAAAUGUUCCUAUGUGAAGGGAAACCCUGGUUAUGCAACAGAUGCAUUAAGAAAAAUAAUCAGACAUAAGUGUCCAUCCCUGAGAAAAGGCUGUCUGUAAUUAAAAGCUUAUCAAAGACAAAAAACUCCUGUGCAUAUCUGGGGUCCUCACGGAGGGGGUGGCAGGGUCGGUGCCCCCGGUGUCUGCCCCCUUCCCAGGGCCGGGAGCGGCCGUGGGGCAGGUGAUGGACGGCUGGAUGUGCAGCCGCUGUGAACAGCUAAGCUGUCAAGUGAUAAAUCCCUUAUGUUCACCCUUAAUUAAAUUUCUUUUAGAAGCACAAUAGCUCGCUUUUAUGUCUGCCAUUUAUCAACAAUUAAAGUCAUCGGCAUUGCUGUUGGCAGCGCGAUCGAUGGUGAGGCAGCAGCGAGGCUCACGGUGCAGCUGUGGCAGGGGCGAGCGGCCGGCACCCCCAUCCCCCUGUCCCUCACCCCCAGGGACCUGUGUGUGUGCCAGCACCCUGUGCUCAGCCACCGCCAGAAAUGGUGGAGCUGCAGCGGGGGAUCCCGAGCUGCAGUGUGAUGGCCCGGGAUUGCUGCCCGACCCCUUGCUGUAGCCCGGGGGAGCGCUCUGCUUGGGGAGCCCCCGGCUGCAGCUCAGCGGCGUUGACCCUCUCGCUUCUUGGCUUGCAGCGGAGUUUGCAACUCUGAAAAGUAUAAGUGAGAGUGUGCUCAACUUGAAAACACGUGGCUGUUUUUCCCUUUCAGUGUCUGGGGUGUUCUUCCUAUUUGGUGUGUCAAGAGCUGUAAUUACGUAUAUUGCUGUC